CACCCCUCAAGCGUAGCUUGGUUUUGGGCUUUCGUCAUCGAUGACGGGUCUGAAAAUCAGUGGCAGAUGCCCUUGUGGUUCCUGAUGCAGUAGUUGUUUUCUCAUCUGGAAGGCCUGAGGAUAUCUCGCCAAAAUGGGAUUGGGGCAGCAGUGCCUGAAUCUCCUUCUACA
RNAcentral lists this unclassified non-coding RNA (171 nucleotides) under uncultured Lecanoromycetes. RNAcentral describes it as "sequence contains ITS2". Lineage: Eukaryota; Fungi; Ascomycota; Lecanoromycetes. The record is from RNAcentral.